GACGAACGCUGGCGGCGUGGAUUAGGCAUGCAAGUCGAACGGUAUCAUCCUUUCGGGGGUGAGAGAGUGGCGAACUGGUGAGUAACACGUAGGUUAUCUACCCUCAAGACGGGGACAACCCAGGGAAACUUGGGCUAAUACCGGAUGUGAGCAACUUUUAGUUGUUUGAAAGGUGGCGUAAGCUGUCGCUUGGGGAUGAGCCUGCGUCCUAUUAGUUAGUUGGUGAGGUAACGGCUCACCUAGGCAAUGAUAGGUAGGCGGCCUUAACGGGUGGUCGCCCACACUGGGAUUGAGAUACGGCCCAGACUCCUACGGGAGGCAGCAGUCGAGAAUAGUCUACAAUGGACGAAAGUCUGAUAGUGCGACGCCGCGUGAACGAAGAAUCCUUUCGGGGUGUAAAGUUCUUUUCUAUGUGAGCAGUUCCUUUUAUAUGAAGAGUAUAGAAGGGGGAUUUAAGCAUAGGAAUAAGCAACGGCUAACUCCGUG
This 486-nucleotide ribosomal RNA is filed under the name uncultured bacterium. RNAcentral's name for it is "bacterial SSU rRNA". It matches the Rfam family "Bacterial small subunit ribosomal RNA", at positions 28 to 507 of the family's 1533-position model. The record is from RNAcentral.